This 653-nucleotide ribosomal RNA is filed under the name Glomeromycotina sp. AB-2014. RNAcentral's name for it is "SSU rRNA". It matches the Rfam family "Eukaryotic small subunit ribosomal RNA", at positions 359 to 1016 of the family's 1831-position model. The record is from RNAcentral. Lineage: Eukaryota; Fungi; Glomeromycota.
GUAACGGGGUGUUAGGGCACGACACCGGAGAGGGAGCCUGAGAAACGGCUACCACAUCCAAGGAUGGCAGCAGGCGCGCAAAUUACCCAAUCCCGACACGGGGAGGUAGUGACAAUAAAUAACAAUACGGGAUUCUAUAGGAUUUCGUAAUUGGAAUGAGUACAAUUUAAAUCUCCUAACGAGGAACAAUUGGAGGGCAAGUCUGGUGCCAGCAGCCGCGGUAAUUCCAGCUCCAAUAGCGUAUAUUAAAGUUGUUGCAGUUAAAAAGCUCGUAGUUGAAUUUCAGGCCUGGCUGGACGGUCCGCCCUUCGGGUGAGUACUGUCUGUGGUCGGGUCCUACCUUCUGGCGAAGCGUCAUGGCCUUAACCGGCCGUGGCGGGGAACCAGGACUUUUACUGUGAAAAAAUUAGAGUGUUCAAAGCAGGCAAUCGCUUGGAUACAUUAGCAUGGAAUAAUGGAAUAGGGCAAUGGUUCUAUUUGUUGGUUUCUAGGACCGUUGUAAUGAUUAAUAGGGAUAGUUGGGGGCAUUAGUAUUCAAUUGUCAGAGGUGAAAUUCUUGGAUUUAUUGAAGACUAACUACUGCGAAAGCAUUUGCCAAGGAUGUUUUCAUUAAUCAAGAACGAAAGUUAGGGGAUGGAAGACGAUCAGAUACC